This 497-nucleotide ribosomal RNA is filed under the name uncultured bacterium. RNAcentral describes it as "partial 16S ribosomal RNA". It matches the Rfam family "Bacterial small subunit ribosomal RNA", at positions 28 to 507 of the family's 1533-position model. The record is from RNAcentral.
GACGAACGCUGGCGGCGUGCCUAAUACAUGCAAGUUGAGCGCUGAAGGUUGGUACUUGUACCAACUGGAUGAGCAGCGAACGGGUGAGUAACGCGUGGGGAAUCUGCCUUUGAGCGGGGGACAACAUUUGGAAACGAAUGCUAAUACCGCAUAAAAACUUUAAACACAAGCUUUAAGUUUGAAAGAUGCAAUUGCAUCACUCAAAGAUGAUCCCGCGUUGUAUUAGCUAGUUGGUGAGGUAAAGGCUCACCAAGGCGAUGGUACAUAGCCGACCUGAGAGGGUGGGCGGCCACAUUGGGACUGAGACACGGCCCAAACUCCUACGGGAGGCAGCAGUAGGGAAUCUUCGGCAAUGGACGAAAGUCUGACCGAGCAACGCCGCGUGAGUGAAGAAGGUUUUCGGAUCGUAAAACUCUGUUGGUAGAGAAGAACGUUGGUGAGAGUGGAAAGCUCAUCAAGUGACGGUAACUACCCAGAAAGGGACGGCUAACUACGUG